UACGUAGGGUGCUAGCGUUGUUCGGAAUUAUUGGGCGUAAAGCGCGUGUAGGUGGCUUGUUAAGUCGGGUGUGAAAGCCCUGGGCUCAACCCAGGACGUGCAUCCGAAACUAGCUCGCUAGAGGACAGCAGAGGGAGGUGGAAUUCCUAGUGUAGAGGUGAAAUUCGUAGAUAUUAGGAGGAAUACCGGUGGCGAAGGCGGCCUCCUGGACUGUUCCUGACACUGAGACGCGAAAGCGUGGGUAGCAAACAGG
Molecule: unclassified non-coding RNA, 253 nt
Filed under: uncultured Oligoflexales bacterium
Lineage: Bacteria; Pseudomonadati; Bdellovibrionota; Oligoflexia; Oligoflexales
Description: contains 16S-23S intergenic spacer region
Rfam family: Bacterial small subunit ribosomal RNA
Source: RNAcentral